GGGGCCAUAGUUAAAAGGGGAUAACAUAGCGUUCGCAACGCUAAAUUCCGGGUUCGAUUCCCGGUGGCUCCA
This 72-nucleotide transfer RNA is filed under the name Candidatus Omnitrophota bacterium. Its description in RNAcentral is "tRNA-Ala". It matches the Rfam family "tRNA". Rfam says of the family: Transfer RNA (tRNA) molecules are approximately 80 nucleotides in length. Their secondary structure includes four short double-helical elements and three loops (D, anti-codon, and T loops). Further hydrogen bonds mediate the characteristic L-shaped molecular structure. tRNAs have two regions of fundamental functional importance: the anti-codon, which is responsible for specific mRNA codon recognition, and the 3' end, to which the tRNAs corresponding amino acid is attached (by aminoacyl-tRNA synthetases). tRNAs cope with the degeneracy of the genetic code in two manners: having more than one tRNA (with a specific anti-codon) for a particular amino acid; and 'wobble' base-pairing, i.e. permitting non-standard base-pairing at the 3rd anti-codon position. Lineage: Bacteria; Pseudomonadati; Candidatus Omnitrophota. The record is from RNAcentral.